Molecule: ribosomal RNA, 496 nt
Filed under: uncultured bacterium
Lineage: Bacteria
Description: partial 16S ribosomal RNA
Rfam family: Bacterial small subunit ribosomal RNA
Source: RNAcentral
GAUGAACGCUGGCGGCGUGCCUAAUACAUGCAAGUCGAGCGAACGGACGAGAAGCUUGCUUUUCUGAUGUUAGCGGCGGACGGGUGAGUAACACGUGGAUAACCUACCUAUAAGACUGGAUAACUUCGGGAAACCGGAGCUAAUACCGGAUAAUAUUUUGAACCGCAUGGUUCAAAAGUGAAAGACGGUCUUGCUGUCACUUAUAGAUGGAUCCGCGCUGCAUUAGCUAGUUGGUAAGGUAACGGCUUACCAAGGCAACGAUGCAUAGCCGACCUGAGAGGGUGAUCGGCCACACUGGAACUGAGACACGGUCCAGACUCCUACGGGAGGCAGCAGUAGGGAAUCUUCCGCAAUGGGCGAAAGCCUGACGGAGCAACGCCGCGUGAGUGAUGAAGGUCUUCGGAUCGUAAAACUCUGUUAUUAGGGAAGAACAUAUGUGUAAGUAACUGUGCACAUCUUGACGGUACCUAAUCAGAAAGCCACGGCUAACUACGUG